AGCUGGCGGCGUGCUUAACACAUGCAAGUCGCGGGGGGUGAGCAAUCACUCACCGGCGAACGGGUGCGUAACACGUGAGCGACCUGCCCACUUGUGGGGUAUAGCCGGCCCAACGGCCGGGUAAUCCCGCAUACGCUUCUCUGGCUGCAUGGCUGGAGGAGGAAAGCCGUAAGGCGCAAGUGGAGGGGCUCGCGGCCUAUCAGCUAGUUGGCGGGGUAACGGCCCACCAAGGCGAUGACGGGUAGCUGGUCUGAGAGGAUGGCCAGCCACAUUGGGACUGAGAUACGGCCCAGACUCCUACGGGAGGCAGCAGUGGGGAAUCUUGCGCAAUGGUCGAAAGACUGACGCAGCGACGCCGCGUGCGGGAGGAAGCCCUUCGGGGUGUAAACCGCUGUUACUCGGGACGAACUUCCCGAUUGAUCGGGAUUGACGGUACCGGAGGAGGAAGCACCGGCUAACUCUGUGCCAGCAGCCGCGGUAAUACAGAGGGUGCGAGCGUUGUCCGGAAUCACUGGGCGUAAAGGGCGCGUAGGCGGCUUCUCACGCGUGCGGUGAAAGCUCGGGGCUUAACUCCGAGUCUGCCGUGC
RNAcentral lists this ribosomal RNA (587 nucleotides) under uncultured Gemmatimonadota bacterium. RNAcentral's name for it is "bacterial SSU rRNA". It matches the Rfam family "Bacterial small subunit ribosomal RNA", at positions 34 to 629 of the family's 1533-position model. Lineage: Bacteria; Pseudomonadati; Gemmatimonadota. The record is from RNAcentral.